GUCACGCGAUCGUUAGCGGAAUCUUAUUGCUGCCCUACUUCCGCCAACCGACCGCCCCGCUGGAUUGCGAGAAGAUAAUUCUGCGUUGACCCGGUCCUUUCGGUUCCGGAUUCCUCAGCCCCCAGCCCCCCGGGGCCGUCGGGAUCGGGUCUGUUCGCAGGGGAGUUAAUCCCGAACUCGGGCCAACGAAAGUUGGUCCUUUU
This 203-nucleotide small RNA is filed under the name Afipia sp. GAS231. Its description in RNAcentral is "Bradyrhizobiaceae sRNA BjrC174". It matches the Rfam family "Bradyrhizobiaceae sRNA BjrC174". Lineage: Bacteria; Pseudomonadati; Pseudomonadota; Alphaproteobacteria; Hyphomicrobiales; Nitrobacteraceae. The record is from Rfam by way of RNAcentral.